UCUCUGCGUGUCGCCAGCGGUCACACCUUGGACGUGGCGGGAGCAGGCCACGUCAGUUGUAAUACUACUGCCACAAAAACGACUCGCUGCAAGAUUAGAUGCGCGGGUGCUGCUGUCGAGACAGACUCGGACCUGGGGAGCGUGCUAUCAAUAAGAAAAACCGAAAAAGACAUCCUACGCUCGCCUGAACCAGGUAGCAGCUCCCAGCGCAGGGAAGGGCCGAAGCGUUCCAGGGAGGGGAUGAAGGCGAAAGCUCAGUACAAGGCGGCCCUCAAAUUACUGAGCCGGCUUCAAGGAAAGGCAGAUCUCUCCCAAGAGGAGAAAUCUAGGCUAGCCUGGGCAGAGCAACAGGUAGAGGACGGUCGCAGGCACUACGCGCAGCUGCCACAGAUGCAGGCGGCGAAUGGUGGAUUCGCAAACAAGGUCGAGGAGAUGCUGGCCGCCAAGAAAAAACGCUCGACUGAGUGUACCGUCAAGGACUCUCCGGCGAGUAAGCGGAAAAGCGGGCAUGAGUGCGUAGCCCCUCCACCGAAACCGGCGAAGAAGCCCAAGACGAAAGCAAAGGUCAGCAACGUGUACAAGAGACACUUGAUCGUGGCGCUCAUUGACCGGAGCGACGAAAACGGGAAGAUGACGGCGGCGCAGUGGAAGUUGGUGCACGCGCGGCUCGUUGACUCACUGUUCGAACGGAUGGAGGAAGAUCCGGCAUCCCCCAUGCCUACUUUCGAUGGUGCUGGGUGGCUAAAUGGGGUGAAAAUCCUGAAGUGUAACGACGAUCCAACACUUAGGUGGCUAAUAAAACGGUCUGCCAAAUGGAAGCAAUGUGGAAGGGGGCCAAGCUAGAGGUCGUAGACAGGGAGCUAAUCCCAUCCAUACCAAAAGCGAAGGUACUUUUCCCCAUUGCAAUCCAAGGGGACCGUGCGUUGAAGCUCCUACAGCGGCAGAACGCAGAUGUGCCAACGGCGAACUGGAGGAUCCUCCACAUUGGGAGCCCGCUACCCAACGAGGGUGGCCAGUGUAUCAUCCUCCAAAUCAAUAAGGAAGCGGAGGAUCUACUCUACCCCAGAUUCGGGAAGAUGGCCUGGGGCAUGGGUAGUGUAUACCUGCGCCUCAAGAAGCGCCACCCCGGUGACAAUGAUUCGCACACCUUGCAGGCGGGCGAGGUAGAGAAGGACCUAGGUCUGGAAACGACCGUCGAGGUCGCCCAGGGUCUUGCGGUGGAAGACUCUGAGGAAGAGGAGGAUGGUGACCUGACGAUAGUAGUCAACCCGUCGAGUGUAAGAGAGCCAGCCAUCCAUGACGCUGAUUGUGCUGCAGCUCAACUUGCAUAAAAGCAAGAAAGCGUUGGCGGAACUCUUUAUUGCCAUGGAGCAAGAGCCCGCUGACGUAGCUUUAGUCCAGGAGUGGUGGAUUGCGUCAGGCAAUUUAGUGGCUGGACUAAGGUCCUCAAACUACAAUCUAUUUUACUCAAUAUCGCACGGAUGACCUGCCAGUAGUGAUGCUGGAAAGUGAGGAAAACCGUUUCUUGCUACAUGGCACACGACAGGCCCGCACAACCCUACUAACUAAGGAGUCUGGUGACAGAAGCCGGAUCUAAAAACCGUCAACUUCUUAUUGGUACGGGCGCAAAUGCCCACCACAAUGUGUGGGGAAGCCCCGACAUCAGUGACAGAGGAAGAUAAAAAAAACUGCGAGGCUGGACUUUACAAAAAUCAGCGUGACUGCUCUAAUGUUUGGCAGAAUUUUAAGCGAUCGAGUGAUAGGCAAAGCGGAAUUUUGUAAUUACUUUGGAAAAUGUCUGAAAACAGCAGAAAACACGACGAACCUAAUGGAUAAUUUAAGGCGAAUAAGUCCGAACAAUGCGACUGAAGACAAAGAGCAUGCACCAACGGCAUUGGGGGGAUUCUUGGUUCGGGAUGUUUGGUAUCCAUCCGGACCGAAACGUUAAAACCAAAGUCCAGGGCAAAGGAAGGAUACUUAACCGUAACUUAAUUCAGCCGUACUGUCAAACACAAAAUUUAGUAUCAGAGAAAUUUAGUCUGCGAUGUUGGCAGCCGGGUGGUAAGUAUAUUUAUACACGUCUGCCAACAUCGCAGACUAAAUUUUACCGGUCUUAACAGAGUAAGUCUUACGUCGUUAUACCCGGAAGACGCUCUAACCAAAAGGAGCAAAAACAAUUUUUGUUUGCUUAUUUUAUGGUUGCCAUCUUUGUUAUAGGUUUUAAAAUAAAACUAAUUAAUUUUUCAAUCAAAACAAAAAAUUGAAUUCAG
Long non-coding RNA from Drosophila persimilis, 2270 nucleotides. RefSeq lists it as uncharacterized. NCBI's taxonomy places the organism in Eukaryota, Metazoa, Arthropoda, Insecta, Diptera, Drosophilidae. The record is from RefSeq and is a predicted model, not a curated record. The transcript has 3 exons.